This 540-nucleotide ribosomal RNA is filed under the name Cellulomonas sp. CMT400. Its description in RNAcentral is "bacterial SSU rRNA". It matches the Rfam family "Bacterial small subunit ribosomal RNA", at positions 391 to 941 of the family's 1533-position model. The record is from RNAcentral. Lineage: Bacteria; Bacillati; Actinomycetota; Actinomycetes; Micrococcales; Cellulomonadaceae.
GCGACGCCGCGUGAGGGAUGAAGGCCUUCGGGUUGUAAACCUCUUUCAGCAGGGAAGAAGCGCAAGUGACGGUACCUGCAGAAGAAGCGCCGGCUAACUACGUGCCAGCAGCCGCGGUAAUACGUAGGGCGCAAGCGUUGUCCGGAAUUAUUGGGCGUAAAGAGCUCGUAGGCGGUUUGUCGCGUCUGCUGUGAAAACUCGAGGCUCAACCUCGGGCUUGCAGUGGGUACGGGCAGACUAGAGUGCGGUAGGGGUGACUGGAAUUCCUGGUGUAGCGGUGGAAUGCGCAGAUAUCAGGAGGAACACCGAUGGCGAAGGCAGGUCACUGGGCCGCAACUGACGCUGAGGAGCGAAAGCAUGGGGAGCGAACAGGAUUAGAUACCCUGGUAGUCCAUGCCGUAAACGUUGGGCACUAGGUGUGGGGCUCAUUCCACGAGUUCCGUGCCGCAGCAAACGCAUUAAGUGCCCCGCCUGGGGAGUACGGCCGCAAGGCUAAAACUCAAAGAAAUUGACGGGGGCCCGCACAAGCGGCGGAGCAUG